GAUGAACGCUGGCGGCGUGCCUAAUACAUGCAAGUCGAGCGAACGGACGAGAAGCUUGCUUCUCUGAUGUUAGCGGCGGACGGGUGAGUAACACGUGGAUAACCUACCUAUAAGACUGGGAUAACUUCGGGAAACCGUAGCUAAUACCGGAUAAUAUUCUGAACCGCAUGGUUCAAAAGUGAAAGACGGUCUUGCUGUCACUUAUAGAUGGAUCCGCGCUGCAUUAGCUAGUUGGUAAGGUAACGGCUUACCAAGGCAACGAUGCAUAGCCGACCUGAGAGGGUGGUCGGCCACACUGGAACUGAGACACGGACCAGACUCCUGCGAGAGGCAGCAGUAGGGAAUCUUCCGCAAUGGGCGAGAGCCUGACGGAGCAGCGCCGCGUGAGUGAUGAAGGUCUUCGGAUCGUAAAACUCUGUUAUUAGGGAAGAACAUAUGUGUAAGUAACUGUGCACAUCUUGACGGUACCUAAUCAGAAAGCCACGGCUAACUACGUG
Molecule: ribosomal RNA, 497 nt
Filed under: uncultured bacterium
Lineage: Bacteria
Description: partial 16S ribosomal RNA
Rfam family: Bacterial small subunit ribosomal RNA
Source: RNAcentral